Molecule: ribosomal RNA, 516 nt
Filed under: Ruminococcus sp. C36
Lineage: Bacteria; Bacillati; Bacillota; Clostridia; Eubacteriales; Oscillospiraceae
Description: bacterial SSU rRNA
Rfam family: Bacterial small subunit ribosomal RNA
Source: RNAcentral
AGAGUUUGAUCCUGGCUCAGGAUGAACGCUGGCGGCGUGCCUAACACAUGCAAGUCGAGCGAAGCACUUUACUUUGAGAUCUUCGGAAGGAUAAGUUUUGUGACUGAGCGGCGGACGGGUGAGUAACGCGUGGGUAACCUGCCUCAUACAGGGGGAUAACAGUUAGAAAUGACUGCUAAUACCGCAUAAGACCCCAGCACCGCAUGGUGCAGAGGUAAAAACUCCGGUGGUAUGAGAUGGACCCGCGUCUGAUUAGCUAGUUGGCAGGGUAACGGCCUACCAAGGCGACGAUCAGUAGCCGACCUGAGAGGGUGACCGGCCACAUUGGGACUGAGACACGGCCCAAACUCCUACGGGAGGCAGCAGUGGGGAAUAUUGCACAAUGGGGGAAACCCUGAUGCAGCGACGCCGCGUGAGCGAUGAAGUAUUUCGGUAUGUAAAGCUCUAUCAGCAGGGAAAGAAACUGACGGUACCUGACUAAGAAGCACCGGCUAAAUACGUGCCAGCAGCCGCGGU